RNAcentral lists this unclassified non-coding RNA (218 nucleotides) under uncultured bacterium. RNAcentral describes it as "contains 16S-23S intergenic spacer region". The record is from RNAcentral.
UCCGGUUUGUCACCGGCAGUCUCCCUAGAGUGCCCUUGCGUAGCAACUAGGGACAAGGGUUGCGCUCGUUGCGGGACUUAACCCAACAUCUCACGACACGAGCUGACGACAGCCAUGCAGCACCUGUGCACGGACUCCGAAGAGGAACCGAUGUUUCCACCGGCUUUCCCGUGCAUGUCAAGCCAGGUAAGGUGGGGAUGACGUGCCUGUACCAUAGA